CAAACGGCUCUUUUCAGAGCCACCUCCAUUUUCAGAAAAAGCUGU
This is a regulatory RNA element of Neotoma lepida (desert woodrat), 45 nucleotides long. It matches the Rfam family "Histone 3' UTR stem-loop". From Rfam's summary of the family: The mRNAs of metazoan histone genes lack a poly-A tail. 3' end processing occurs at a site between a highly conserved stem-loop (modelled by this family) and a purine rich region around 20 nts downstream (the histone downstream element, or HDE). The record is from Rfam. NCBI's taxonomy places the organism in Eukaryota, Metazoa, Chordata, Mammalia, Rodentia, Cricetidae.